GAUGAAGAACGUAGCGAAAUGCGAUACGUAGUGUGAAUUGCAGAAUUCAGUGAAUCAUCGAAUCUUUGAACGCACAUUGCGCCCCUUGGUAUUCCGAGGGGCAUGCCUGUUCGAGCGUCAUUAUAACCCCUCAAGCUCAGCUUGGUGUUGGGGCCUGCUGCACUGGCAGCCCUUAAAAUCAGUGGCGGCGCCAUCUGGCUCUAAGCGUAGUAAUUCUUCUCGCUAUGGAGUCCUGGUGGAUGCUUGCCAUCAACCCCCAAUUUUUCUAUGGUUGACCUCGGAUCAGGUAGGGAUACCCGCUGAACUUAAGCAUAUCAAUAAGCGGAGGA
Molecule: unclassified non-coding RNA, 329 nt
Filed under: soil metagenome
Description: partial contains 5.8S ribosomal RNA, internal transcribed spacer 2, and large subunit ribosomal RNA
Rfam family: 5.8S ribosomal RNA (bases 1-120)
Source: RNAcentral